This 612-nucleotide ribosomal RNA is filed under the name Micropsalliota gracilis. Its description in RNAcentral is "eukaryotic LSU rRNA". The stretch from base 248 to 402 matches the Rfam family "5.8S ribosomal RNA". Lineage: Eukaryota; Fungi; Basidiomycota; Agaricomycetes; Agaricales; Agaricaceae. The record is from RNAcentral.
CAUUACCGAAUGUUGCCUUGAUGGGUUGUCGCUGGCUUUGAAAACUCAGAGCAUGUGCACACCUGUCUUGACUUCUAUUCAUCCACCUGUGCACCUUUUGUAGUCUUUUUGGGGUCUGGGGAAGCAAGUGUGGCUGUUUUACGCUGUGUUUGUGAUAACCUCCCACUGAAGGCUAUGUUUUUACAUAUACCACUUAGAAUGUAACAGAAUGUGUCAAUGGGCACUUGUGGCCUAUAUAAAUCUAUACAACUUUCAGCAACGGAUCUCUUGGCUCUCGCAUCGAUGAAGAACGCAGCGAAAUGCGAUAAGUAAUGUGAAUUGCAGAAUUCAGUGAAUCAUCGAAUCUUUGAACGCACCUUGCGCUCCUUGGCCAUUCCGAGGAGCAUGCCUGUUUGAGUGUCAUUAAAUUCUCAACCCCACCAGUUUUUGUGACUGGUCUUUGGGGCUUGGAUGUGGAGGUUUUGCUGGCUGCAAGGUCAGCUCCUCUGAAAUGUAUUAGCGGAACCGUUUGCGAUCCGUCACAGGUGUGAUAAUUAUCUACGCCUAGUGGGUUGCUUUCUGCUUGUUCAGCUUAUAAUCGUCCUCACGGACAACUUAUUGAACACUUGACCU